RNAcentral lists this long non-coding RNA (489 nucleotides) under Elaeis guineensis (African oil palm). Its description in RNAcentral is "long non-coding RNA (EGUI_LNC020037)". The record is from RNAcentral. Lineage: Eukaryota; Viridiplantae; Streptophyta; Magnoliopsida; Arecales; Arecaceae.
UUCAAUGCUCUCAAAGAAUCAAAAAAUAUUUGGAUGGGAGUGAGUGAGCUUUCUUGAAUGCUUAAAAUUCAAAAAAUCUUUUCUUUUCAAUGGAACAGUUCUUUUUUAAAUGCUCCUCUUUCUUCUCUUGAUAUUUUGAGCAUUCUCAUCAAGUUUGAAGUGAAUAGAGCUCAAAAUUAGCUAUUUCUGAUCGUUGGGGGUGAAAAUAGUCAUUGGAAGCUUUGACAGGCCAAAAAUAUCGCAUCUAAAAACUAGCCAUUGAUGCAAUCAGACACCUUCGAAUUGGCUUGGAUUGACUUUGAGUUGGCUCGAUCGAUAAGUUUCAAGGAUCAGGCCUUCUGUUCGACUGAGAGAGCUAACUCAGAUUGAUCUUGAGUUGGCUCGACAGCAUCCACCACAAAUCACUUUCUAUUUUUCUGAUAGAGCUGGCUCGAAUUAUCUUCAGACUGGUUCGGCUCUUAGGAUCCAAAAAAUAGUCUUUUUGUCACC